This 71-nucleotide transfer RNA is filed under the name Nocomis biguttatus (hornyhead chub). RNAcentral describes it as "tRNA-Trp". It matches the Rfam family "tRNA". From Rfam's summary of the family: Transfer RNA (tRNA) molecules are approximately 80 nucleotides in length. RNAcentral also lists the same sequence under 1 other name. Lineage: Eukaryota; Metazoa; Chordata; Actinopteri; Cypriniformes; Leuciscidae. The record is from RNAcentral.
AGGGACUUAGGAUAACAUUAGACCCAGGACCUUCAAAGCCCUAAGCAGGAGUGAAAAUCUCCUAGUCCCUG